CAGCCUUCUUUUUGGGGUAUGGUUUGAUUUGAAGUCUGAUCUAAGGUGUUCGAUUCAUCUAAAGGCU
This 67-nucleotide transfer RNA is filed under the name Xylonora corona. Its description in RNAcentral is "tRNA-Ser". The record is from RNAcentral. Lineage: Eukaryota; Metazoa; Mollusca; Bivalvia; Myida; Xylophagaidae.